Molecule: ribosomal RNA, 446 nt
Filed under: Citricoccus nitrophenolicus
Lineage: Bacteria; Bacillati; Actinomycetota; Actinomycetes; Micrococcales; Micrococcaceae
Description: bacterial SSU rRNA
Rfam family: Bacterial small subunit ribosomal RNA
Source: RNAcentral
CACGUACUCAGCUUGCUGGGGUGGAUGAGUGGCGAACGGGUGAGUAACACGUGAGUAACCUUCCCUUGACUCUGGGAUAAGCCCGGGAAACUGGGUCUAAUACCGGAUACGACCUCCUGCCGCAUGGUAUGGGGGUGGAAAGAUUUAUCGGUCUUGGAUGGACUCGCGGCCUAUCAGCUUGUUGGUGAGGUAAUGGCUCACCAAGGCGACGACGGGUAGCCGGCCUGAGAGGGUGACCGGCCACACUGGGACUGAGACACGGCCCAGACUCCUACGGGAGGCAGCAGUGGGGAAUAUUGCACAAUGGGCGCAAGCCUGAUGCAGCGACGCCGCGUGAGGGAUGACGGCCUUCGGGUUGUAAACCUCUUUCAGUAGGGAAGAAGCGAAAGUGACGGUACCUGCAGAAGAAGCGCCGGCUAACUACGUGCCAGCAGCGGCGGUAAUGA